This is a regulatory RNA element of Alkaliphilus oremlandii OhILAs, 91 nucleotides long. It matches the Rfam family "pan motif". The record is from Rfam. NCBI's taxonomy places the organism in Bacteria, Bacillati, Bacillota, Clostridia, Peptostreptococcales, Natronincolaceae.
UAGCUGGUAUCAAUUUUUGAGCUAGACUAAUUUUCAUUGUUUUAAAAAAAAUUAAAUUGUCCGGCAUCUUUCAAAAGAGCUGGAACGGAGG